ACAGUUUCAUUUUUUUCCUUUGAACAGCUUGUGAACAUUUAACUUGACUUAUUAAAGGUGACUAUUUCAGCCUCCGACAUUAGGGAAGAAGUACAUUAAAACAUUUUUCUCUACUGAAAAGUAUAGUUGCUGUCAGUGCUAUUGGUGGCAUCAGUAUGAAUCCAUGAAAGAAAACCUGUGCCAGGGUUUUAAAAUAUUUUAAAAAGUAAUGAAUGAAAUUUAAUUUGGACAAAAGAAAUCUAUAUAAAUUUAAAACACUUAUUAUGCUAACAUGGUACAGUUUUAAAUAUGAGUAAUAAAAGGAAGUCCUCUUAGACCACCUAUUUAAAUUGACGCCAAUAAUCUUAAGGAUUGAUAGUAGUUGUCAUUUAUUGACUUAAAAGUUAUAGUUUAGGGACUAUUAUCAGUGUUAAAUCCUUGAUUUUUGUGGAGCUUUAAUGGAUGGAGGUGAAAAAGUUGAUUAUAAGAGUGAUGAGGAAUGGUAGUGAAAUGAACAUCAACCUAUUUUAGAAAAGGAACUUUAGUCUUGCCUCAAGCAAACCAGGUGUAUUCAUUGCUAAAAUCUUUUCUAAUAUUUAUGUUAAAACCAUAAUUUUAGAUAGUAUUAAAUAAUUACUUCCUUAGCAAAUAAUAGGUGG
This 638-nucleotide long non-coding RNA is filed under the name Bos taurus (domestic cattle). RNAcentral describes it as "long non-coding RNA NONBTAT001125". The record is from RNAcentral. Lineage: Eukaryota; Metazoa; Chordata; Mammalia; Artiodactyla; Bovidae.